AACAACAGGGUCCAACAACAACAACAGGGGUCCAACAACAACAACAGGGUCCAACAACAACAACAGGGUCCAAACAACAACAACAGGGUUCAAACAACAACAACAGGGUUCGACAACAACAACAGGGUUCGACAACAACAACAGGGUCCAAACAACAACAACAGGGUCCAAACAACAACAACAGGGUUCAAACAACAACAACAGGGUCCAAACAACAACAACAGGGUCCAACAACAACAACAGGGUUCGACAACAACAACAACAGGGUCCAACAGGUUGAAACCUUUAUCUCAUAGUGUUGUUUACUCACCGGUUACCGGACGGAGGACCAUCCCGUACAGACACAACGACAGCAUCGUGAUUUGUUUCAGCAACGCCAUUGACUUCACUCUGUUGUACAUUUUUUUGAUUUAACUCCCAACAAAAAAACUUAAUGUAUUUAUAUGUCUUUCACGUCAGCUCAAUAAGUUGAAGUGAAAUGUCCAGUAUGGAAGAAGACAUUGAAAAGUAAAUGAUCAGUGAUGAAGACGGCGUCAGAUUGUCCUGCUAACAGCUAGCUAACGUUAGCCAACACAACGUUAGCUGAAAAUUACCUCACUAACAUUAACAAUACACUGGUAGCGUUACUACAGGUAGCUAACUAUGUUAAAAUAAACUUGUUUGGGGGGGGGGGGGACGGUCUUAUGCCUACAAAGUCCAACUUUGCCGUAUUUUUUGUCCCCCUUUUCAAGGUAACUAGCUAACGUUAGCUAGCUAGCUCCUUUGCUAACGUUAGGCAGCCUUUGAUAGCUAACCGUCCAAGCUAGCUAGCUAGCUAACGUUAGGUAUUUAUUAUAUACAAAAAGGUCCGUCAAAUCCAAAUUCCAUGUUGACUAUUCCCAUUCCAUAGGUCUUUGUCUUAACAACGUCCAUCCAUUCAGGGUUUAUUUGGUCUAUUCAGGGGUUUAGUAAAUAGGUUUUAGUCCCGUCGGGGUGGAUAGCCGUCUCUUUCUGCAUUUGGCAUUGACCGUGGAGGCUCCGGGCAGGGCAGGGCACCGGACAGCGAGGCUCCGGGCAGCGAGGCUCCGGGCAGCGAGGCACCGGACAGCGAGGCACCGGACAGCGAGGCACCGGGCAGGGCAGGGCACCGGACAGCGAGGCUCCGGGCAGGACAGGGCACCAGACAGCGAGGCUCCGGGCAGCGAGGCACCGGACAGUGAGGCGCAGAGCAGGGCAGGGCACCGGACAGCGAGGCUCCGGGCAGGACAGGGCACCAGACAGCGAGGCUCCGGGCAGGGCACCGGACAGCGAGGCUCCGGGCAGGGCAGGGCAGCAGACAGCGAGGCUCCGGGCAGGACAGGGCACCAGACAGCGAGGCUCCGGGCAGGGCACCGGACAGCGAGGCUCCGGGCAGGGCAGGGCAGCAGACAGCGAGGCUCCGGGCAGGACAGGGCACCAGACAGCGAGGCUCCGGGCAGGACGGCGGCGGCGGGGGGAAACGCCUGGUUGUGUCUCCACUAUCAGGUUUGGUGGAUUUGUUUGGGUGGAUGAUGAACUGGAAGCUCCCUAUCUGCAGACAGGGCUAACUACAACAAUACAUUCCUGCUGGAAGCUGUUGUUCAACUGUAUCGCCACCCUGUGGACAUAACUCAGUUGGUAGAGCACGGUGUUUGCAACGCCAGCAUGGUGUUUGCAACGCCAGGGUUGUGGGUUCGAUUCCCACGGGGGGCCAGUACAAAACAAAAACAAAAAAUAAUGUAUGAAAUGUAUUCACUACUGUAAGUCGCUCUGGAUAAGAGCGUCAGCUAAAUGACUAAAAUGUAAAAUGUCUUACAGACAGCAGGUCCAGAAAAACACUUCUACUGAAAUAUAUAUAUAGUUGUCCAUCAGAUGGCAAUAUGUCUGGUGAAAGACCCGCACACAGUUACAUCAACUCAUGUAACAACAUGCCAAAAACAAUAUUGGAAUAUGAGUCGCAUUUUCCUAGUGGCUUGUUUCUGCGUUUUCUUUUGAAUUUUCCCAUCAUGAUCCAGUGUUGUGAUGUGUUGAUGCAGACAAAUUAAUCCAUGCUUUUGUUACUUCUAGGCUGGACUACUGCAAUGCUCUACUUUCCGGCUACCCGGAUAAAGCACUAAAUAAACUUCAGUUAGGGCUAAAUACGGCUGCUAGAAUCCUGACUAGAACCAAUAAUAUUUGAUCAUAUUACUCCAGUGUUAGCCUCCCUACACUGGCUUCCUGUUAAGGAUGAGGCUGAUUUCAAGGUUUUACUGCUAACCUACA
RNAcentral lists this long non-coding RNA (2259 nucleotides) under Salmo salar (Atlantic salmon). RNAcentral describes it as "lncRNA (ENSSSAG00000106390.1)". The stretch from base 1745 to 1798 matches the Rfam family "UnaL2 LINE 3' element". The record is from RNAcentral. Lineage: Eukaryota; Metazoa; Chordata; Actinopteri; Salmoniformes; Salmonidae.